GGAACGGCGGCGGGUCUGGGGGAUCCCUGCCCUGCCCUGCGGCCAGCCCGGCACGCACGGCUCGCUGCGGGGUCUGUGGCCGCCAUCCCCGGGCCCGGCACCGCCGCCUGUCUCCUGCAGGAGCGGGCACGGCGGGAUCAGCCGCCGCCCGCGGGAGGUGGUUCCCCGGGGGGUGGCUGGCCCGGCCGGCCUGGCUCCAGCGGCAGGGCCGGGCAGGGCCGCGGGUGACACAGCACGCUGCUCGCCGGGCCCCAGAAGGGCUGUCUCCGCGCGUUGGCCGAGCCCGGCGGCAGCCUCAGGAGCCACCUGCGGUUCUCCAGCUCUGGUUUCCUCCGUGUCUUCACAGGUUUCUGGGUGUUUUCUCUCGGGUCACACCUCUGCAUCUUUCAGGGGCCGUUUUCUUCCGGCAGCUCCUGUGCCCUCCGUUGCUGUGGGGAGCGGGAGAGGCUGCUCCUUCGGGUCCCAUCGCUGAGGGUGCCCACGCCAGCUGCACCUCUGCAGCCUGCAAGGGAUGGUGCCAUCACUUGAGCUUCCACCAUGCAUCAUUUUCUGCCAGUAUUUACCUCUUUAGAGGUUGGUUCUUAGUUUAUCAAGCUACACUCGUGUCUCCUUUGUAACCAAGACUGCAUUCCAGAAUCGGGUGAUUGCUGUGCUGUGCCCAUCUGUAUCCAGCGGUACAAAAGGCUCUAGGUGUGCCUCCCCUUUGCACAGGGGAAAAGGCUGGCUGUAGGUCGUUAAUACACAGCACCCUGCUUUUCUUCUUCUGUGUAUGUGUGCACCCCUGAGAUGCUUGGCUUUCCAUUUGUCUUACGAGGCAGUCCCUUUAUCCAGACCCAGUUUUGCCACGUUUUGAGCAAACCUUGCCCUCCUGAUUGUACCACCCAGCCCAGGUAGAUGUCAUCUGCAAAUUGUAUUAGGAGUGAUUUUGUGUUUACUUCCAGAUGGCUCAGGAAAAUACUGAUUGUGUCCGUGUGUCGUGUAGCAUGAUCCUAGACAGAUCCCACAAGAAGUACCCUUAUUCAGUAAUGCUUUUUAACCAGUUCUAAAAAAAAGAAAUAAAUGUCUGUGGCCAGUAUUUAAUAAAAGCUUAACUGAUGUUUUGUGACCCUCUGAAACAUUGUGCAGUUCUAAGGAAAAACCCAUUUAAAAGUUUAUUACACCUUCCAGAGGAAACGAAAUUGUUUGUUGUCUUCUUGAAGCAUUAAAUGAGAUUUCUAGGAGACCUCUGACUGGCAGUACUAAUUAUUUAAUCUGAGUCACAUACCAGCUUUUUUUUUGGUAUUUAGCCAGGAACUCUUGGAUAGACAUUUAUUACAUAUCAUGCAAGUAUCCUUUUGGAAGACAGAUACCAACCUGGCACAUUUUCAGCUUUCUAGUAUCUCCCCAGUGUACCAAGGUUUACCAAAGAUGAACACCAACAGUUGAGGGGUCCCCCAGGAAGCUGGUUUGAAGCUACUGGGCCACAGUUAUCCCUAGAAGACAAGAGCUUCACUGGUUACUAAUGGACUGAAAUUUAUCACAUCACUGUUAAGUAAUCCACCCACCUAUCUUCCUGCUUCUUUACAAACAUAGAUCAUAAAUGUUCAAUGAACA
Long non-coding RNA from Apus apus (common swift), 1593 nucleotides. RefSeq lists it as uncharacterized. NCBI's taxonomy places the organism in Eukaryota, Metazoa, Chordata, Aves, Apodiformes, Apodidae. The transcript is spliced from 2 exons. The record is from RefSeq and is a predicted model, not a curated record.